Molecule: ribosomal RNA, 406 nt
Filed under: uncultured bacterium
Lineage: Bacteria
Description: partial 16S ribosomal RNA
Rfam family: Bacterial small subunit ribosomal RNA
Source: RNAcentral
AUUGAACGCUGGCGGCAGGCUUAACACAUGCAAGUCGAGCGAGCGGCGGCCGGGUGAGUAAUGUCUGGGAAACUGCCUGAUGGAGGGGGCUAACUACUGGAAACGGUAGCUAAUAACGCAUACCAUCAGAGGUGCCCAGAUGGGAUUAGCUAGUAGGUGGGGUAAUGGAUCACCUAGGCGACGAUCCCGAGCUGGUCUGAGAGGAUGACCAGCCACACUGGAAUUGAGACACGGUCCAGACGCCGACGGGAGGCAGCAGUGGGGAAUAUUGCACAAUGGGCGCAAGCCUGAUGCAGCCAUGCCGCGUGUGUGAAGAAGGCCUUCGGGUUGUAAAGCACUUUCAGCGAGGAGGCGUUACUCGCAGAAGAAGCACCGGCUAACUCCGUGCCAGCCGCCGCGGUAAUAC